This 757-nucleotide long non-coding RNA is filed under the name Malus domestica (apple). RNAcentral's name for it is "long non-coding RNA (MDOM_LNC012972)". The record is from RNAcentral. Lineage: Eukaryota; Viridiplantae; Streptophyta; Magnoliopsida; Rosales; Rosaceae.
CAGCAUGUGGAGACAACGUACAGAAGAAACAAGCAGAGAAGAAUGCAGCUUGCACAAUCAUCCCAGCAGAAGGAGUCCGAGCUGAAGAACUAGAGAAGCUGCCACAUCUGCUUGGAGAACAAAUAAGGAACUGCAACAUAACCAAAGAGCAAAGCUUCGCCGUACAAUAUCAUCAAAUUAUCACUUGCAAGUAAACAGCUAAGUGUCACCCAGUUCAAGAGGAAAGCUGUGGAAAGUCAACAAGCACGACCAAUGAUCACUUAUUAGUUCUAUUCAUUGUCUUUUAUCGUGAUUUUAAAUUUUUCGUUUGCAAUUCUUUUUUUUUUAUAUAUUUUCUUGUGUUACUUAACUGAAUUAUUUCUUUUCUUUGCAGGAAAAUUUGGUUAUUUCCACCCUUGAAGUUGAUUGCAGAAUUUUAGCUUGGGGGUCAUCGCUUGAUUUUACUGCAAAUUAGGGAAGUUUUCAGUCCACUUGUUUUAUUUUGUUUCUUAUUAUUUAUUUUAUUUUUAUUUGCAUUAUAGUGUUUUCUGACAUUGGGGACAAUGUCCAGUUUAAGUUUGGGGGUAAAGAGUAUAAAAAAUGACCAAAUUGAAAUUUUUUGUACCUUCAACUACGAACGAGUUUCAUUUGUUUCCAUGUUGUUGCUUUUUGUUUUCAUAAAAAAAAAAUAAAUAAAUUUUUAAAUCGGAAAAUUUAAAAAAAUCCAAAAAUAUUGUCUUGUUUCCCUUAUUGUUUUGAAUUAGAUUUUUGUUAGUUU